Molecule: long non-coding RNA, 4587 nt
Filed under: Gallus gallus (chicken)
Lineage: Eukaryota; Metazoa; Chordata; Aves; Galliformes; Phasianidae
Description: lncRNA (ENSGALG00010029990.1)
Source: RNAcentral
GAAAGAACGGAGAAAUCCCCAUCUAUUUCCUUUACUACCCACAAGACAUGGUGAACAGCCACAUGCCGUUUCCAAGGAGAAAAGACACAAAAUCUAUCCCCAGAGAUCCCACAAGCCACAGUCUGGCUUGGUUUUAUAGAAAGUAUUUCCUCUCCCUGCACCACCAGCGCUCCAUCCUCCCCACCCCACUGGAAUCAUGUCUCAUCUUGCACAGGAAAUUUUGAUUUUUCAUUGGAAAAAAAAAAUAGUUAAGCAACCUAAAGUGAAUUAUUUUGGCACGAGUCUCAUCUAUUGCAGUUCCAACACUGCCACGACACCUCCAGCACGGAGCACCCAACCAAGGAACAGCUGCCCUGAGGAUGUGCGGCAGCGCAGCCAAAGCAAACUGGUUGGGUUGCCCAGUAGAACACACCACUUCCCAGCUCAGAGAAAGGCUGGCUUACCUCCUGGGACACGCACGUUGGUGUACAGCCUCUUGCUGCAGUGGAACAGGAGGUUUCCUACAGGACCUGAUGGGUUCUUUAUCAUAAGGUUUGAGUGGAUGGAGAAACCCACUGAAACUUUAGAUUGUAGAGUGGUCAGGCACUGGAAAAGAGCAUGGCACAAGCAAAGGCUGCAAAGGCAGAGGAAUGCUGGCUUGAUAUCCUCCAGGGUGCAGGAGUUGGCAGCUUUAUCCAUCACUAUUUUUAGCCCUUCUGGGACUUCUGCAGUGCCCCAGCUUCACAACAAGCCCAAGAAGAGGCAAAGCUUCACCCAGUGGCAUCCCAUCAUGGAUGGCACACAGGUGACGCGCUCCAACCUGAAUGAUCUGCAGUCCUAAAACAACUGUAACGAAGCUGUGAUAACAGGAAACAUCAGGAAACUCAACAACAGCAGAGAUGAGCGCCCUGCCUACACCACACUGCUGCUGCGUUCAGCGAGAUUGUUAUAUGUGAUGUCAACAGCUACACACAAGCUGUGAAUAGUUUCCUAUCUCCUCCAGCCUAUUUGAGUCUCGAGUGAUUCAACUGACUUCUUCAGAGCUGUUCUGGAUUUACACUGGCUCUGCUGAAACCAGGAUGCACCACAGGGGUCUAGGAAGCGCGCUGGGUCCCCAUCUCUCCUUGGCACACAGUAGCACUGGAGCUUGAGCACAGCUGCACUGAUUUCCUUCCAUUGGGCAUCAGGACUUCUGCUCACAGUGUGUGGGUCUGAGAAGGGGCAGCCCUGAUACGGGACAUCCCCAUCACCCCCAAGCCCUCACCAAACCAUCACAUCGCUCUGUGUAAAAGAGGCAGCUCUUCUACGCAGGGCAGCCCUAAAAAUAAACAAAGAAACGAAAGAGAUCCUCUCUCCAAAAAAUAAACUGUGAUUAAUUAUUCCGAAAAGGGCUGUUUAUAGCUUGGACUUCAUGAAACGGAAUGCAUGAUUUAAUGCACUAUCUGACAAUGUGCUGUUUUUCAUUUCAGCACAAUCAGGGCCUAAAUCCGUGUCUCCCUCUCCUUCAUCUGAGCUGGAAAUGGUUUUAUAUUCCAUCUCGCUUUAAAUUAUACACAUCAAGUUUAUAAUGGGACACGGACUAUUUUGUUGCCAAAACCUGCUCUGUAAGAUCAUCUAUUAAACCGUAUUUAUUUUUUAUGACAAACAAGAAAAAUGACAAAACAGCUACUGAGCUUCUGCUAAUGAGGACCAAAUGCCCCCUCAGGCACCCUUCCCAUCACGCUGAGCUGAGCACAUCCUCCCACUCGGGGACAUGUGGGGCUGUGUCACCCCACAGUGGCCCCAGGGACCACCACUCUGUGUGGUUGCACUCAAGAUCUGGGGUCCGGAGUUUUAUCCCACUGGGAUGCAAGCAAGAAAACACAGCCCUGGCACAGGAGAGGAAAUGCUCUUGGGAAUAGCAAGAAGAUUGGCCAAAAAGCUGACCCUGGGGAGGGUUCCAUCUCGGCAAGGCGUUUGGAUGGGAGCCGAGGUUUGCAUUCCUCCCACCCAUGCUCCUCUGUGGGGCUCUCAUCCGUGAGCCUGUGACCAAAGUGGGGCAGAGCCAGGUGCAGCCAUUCCCUACAUCUGUGAUUUAUUCUUGGAGAUGACAGCAACAAAAAGGCCCUCUGGUGAUCGGUACAAACAGGCCCUCAUCAGCGUGGGGGACAUUUUAUAGACCUCAAGCUUUUAAAUGUUGAAGGAAAAAAAUCACCAAGAUCCUAAUGCUAUUUCAGCUUUAAAGACUGCUCCAUUUAUAUUACAGUGUUAAUGCAGAAAAUCCCUCUUUUGCCAUCUUUGUUUAUUUUUGCCAUGCUAGUUACUAGUGAGCGCAGCAGCAAGUUUUUAUACCGAGCACAGCAACCCAUCUCAUCCCAAUAAAUUCCUUAUGUAGCCUAUGAAUAGCCAGACACAUGAAUAAUUUAACCAUGGUUUAAUCAACGUUAAACGAAUGCUUUAAUCAAGACCAACUACGUCAUUUCUCCUUAAAAGAAUUACAGACCAAGGCUCUGGCUCUGGUUUCACAGCAUAGGAAGAGCACACAUCUCCUUGGUGAGUUUUAAACAAAUUAAUCAUGCAUUUCUCCAUGGCACCAGCCAGGCGAAGACAGAAGCGCGUUAGCUAUCCCUUCUGCUUCACCCAAAAAGUCUGGAACCAUAGAAUCAUAGAAUUGUUGGAGUUGGAAGGGACCCCUAAAGGCCAUCUGGUCCCACUCCUCUGCAAUGAGCAGGGACACGCACAGCUCCAUCAGUGCUCAGAGCCCACCCCCUGACCUUGGCUGUGUGCAGGGACAGGGCGCUGCCACCCUUGUGAGCAACCCAAAAUUUACCACAUGCUCCCUGCUGUAGCCACGCAGUGAACAGGAUGCAACAGAAAGGAGAUCGUGGAAGCAAAGGCCCUGUCAGCCCUGUCCUGUGUCGGGUGUGUGUCUGUGUGUCCCGUACCACCUCUGUGGCUUGGACUUGGUGGGCUGCUCAGCACCAUACAGCAGUCUGAUCACUCCUCCGAAAGAGAUGGGGGAGAGAACUGGAAAAAAAGGUAAAACUCAUGGGUUGAGACAAAGAUAGUUUAAUAGAACAGAAAAGGAAGGGAAGAUGAUAAUGAUAAAAGAAUAUACAGAACAAGUGAUGCACAAUGCAAUGCUCACCAGACUCAGCAUGAUGCCAUAUGGUAUGGGAUAUCCUUUUGGUUUGCUGUUGUAGUGCUGUCCCCUCUCAGCAGUUUGUGCCCCCCAUCCCCUCACUGGCAGGGCAACAAGAGAAGCUGAGAUGCCCUUGGCUCCAUGCAGCACCUCUCUGCACCAACAAAACCACUGGUGUGUUACCCGCAUUAUGAAUCACAGAAUAUCCCAAGUUGGAAGAGACCAGAAGGAUCAUCCUAAAUCCAAAACAGAACACCAUCCCAGCUACUAGGUGACAAUCCAUUCUAUUCCAGCUGAAACAAGGACAUCUUUCACUAACAGGGGACAGCCAUGCUCCCAUGAGACAUCUCUGACCUAGGACACCUGACCUGGGACAGCACCAGAGAAGCUGCAGUGUUUUAGGUUUCCAUUCUCAAACUUGCCACCGAAAACACUGAUGGAAGCAGUGCCUUCUGCCAUCACACCUCCAAUGUCCUUAGUGCAAAAUGUGGGAUACCCACUGCUCAUGUCCAACACCAUCAGAGAAAGCAGCCCUGGACAUCCAGCUCCCUAUGCAAGCAUCAGCUUCUUCUGGAUUUGCAUUUAUCAGCUGAUGAGAUAUUUGAAGGAGAACAUCAUCACUUACAUGCUCAAAUAUAAUAGCAGCCAGUCCAAUCUUCCCUCUCUGGAGGAAGGGGAGGUCAUGCAAGCUCUCAGCCCUCACUGCUGGCUCUGAGCUGCAAGUUUCCUCCCCUCCAGAACUCUCAGCGAUGCUGUUUUGGUUCCAGGCAGACGGGACACCCUCCAGUCCGGCUGCUUUUCCAUCCCCAGCUUUCUUAAAAAGGUCAGGAAAUGCUCUGCCUGGCAGACAGAUGAGUCGUGAAGCCUCAGCAUUUGUAGCAGAAUGAGGUUAUUACAUUGCAAACUCCAUCCUGAGGAGAAACAACACAAAAAAACUUAUCACGAGUUUUUCAACAAAAAGGAUUUUUCUCUUUUCCAUUUUCUUAAAAAGAUCAAAGAAAUAUAAGAAGUUGGAUCUUAAAGCUCUCUUCUUCCAGUAACUAUUUCUCAUUCUUCUGGUGUUUGUUUUCCAACCUGUUGCCCUCAAGGCCCUUCCACACAUUACAUUUUUUUUUUCCAUUGCCACUAUUAGAAGAAGGAAGGAGUAAAAAAGUGUGUAGAGGAGAGGAAAUCCUUCCCUCCCUUAAGCACUUAUUCAGCAGCUCUUCAGUUCUCACUGCCCUUGUGCUGCACUACAAAACCAGGGCAUCAGAUAACCACAGUAUGUGCAGGCACCAUGUGAGAAGUGACGGGCUGGGAAGGAGGAGGUCAGCACCCACACCCCAUAGCCAUGUCACACCUGGGUGCCACGAUGGCACAAGCAGGAGUGAAAGCAUGGCACUAAAAUUCCAGGUACCCUCUCCAUCCUCGGAGUGCUGCACUACUGAGUCUCCAACAUUCACGGGAUCCAAAAUGUUCAGGAGCUGCUCCUGCUCAGCCCCACAUCC